AUCCAACUUACGAGUCUUAAAUAGUACGAGACGCGCGUCUUGGAU
RNAcentral lists this non-coding RNA (45 nucleotides) under Schistosoma margrebowiei. The record is from RNAcentral. Lineage: Eukaryota; Metazoa; Platyhelminthes; Trematoda; Strigeidida; Schistosomatidae.